CACGGCGGCGGCGGCGGCGGCGGUGGGAGCGGGCACCGCCGCGGGCCGGUGAGUGCGGGCAGCGGGGCCCGGCCCGGGGGGAUGCGGCCGCGGACAGCGCUGGGGAAGGGGCGGCUGAAGCCCGGCCGGGGGGCUCCUCCUUUUCCAGCCGCCGGGGGCCGGUCUGAGCUGCCGGGAUGGGGAGGGGAAUGCCGUGCCCUGCAGCGUUCCGGUGAGCCCCGGGGUGUCCCCGCCUCUGCCCGCGGCACUGGGGUUCCUGCACCUGGCACCAGCACCCAGCCCUCUGCCCCGUCAGCAGGGUGUCCCUGCGUCCCCCAGGGAUGCCCCUCUAGCCUCAAACAGCUCUGUGGCCCCAGGGACACUCCUGUGUCCCCCGGUGCCCCCAAAGCUGCCCUCGUGUCCCGCUAUGACCCUGUACGCCCAAGGAUGUCCCUGUGUGCCCAGCUGGACAAAAUCCCAUGUGAGCCCCCAUCUGCCCUUCCAAGGCCUGACCCCCCAUCCGGGGUGCCUUUCAGGAGGGGCCACAUCCCCUCCCUUCUCUGUGGGGCUGGGGGGCACAUCCAGGAGCCCCCUGUGCUGUCUUGGUGCUCACUCUGAGCAUCCCCAGCCCUGGCAGUGUGACAGCCUGGCAGUGCCAUGGGUGUGGUGGGUGCUGGGGGGCAGCCCCAGGGUGGUGCUGGGGAAGCCUCGGGGAAGGGGAUCCAGCUCCUGCCCAGGGAAGGGACGUUCUCCAUCAGGGACAGGAUCCUCUGCUCCCGGGGCGCACCCCUCAGGGUAGGGCAGUGUGGGUGCCCAGAGCUGGGUCCCCAGGAGCACCGGGCAAGUCUGACCCCAUCCUCAUGUCCCUACAACCCUCCUGCCACACUGGCCACCACAGCCGGGUGAGAAUGUGGCACCCCGAAGGGACGGCACCCUGUUUUGGGGGGACAGGUGUGCUCCGAGGGGACGCGUUUGUCUGCCUGGCAGGGAAGGGGUUAAGGCCGGGCGGGUUUUGGGGUGCCGGGGUGUCCCCAGCUGGGUACACCCAGGCUGCUCCUCGCACGGGUGACCUCACGCCACUGCCAUGGCAACGGCUCGUGAAGUCACGGCGAGCGGGGCGGCUGCUGCGAGCCGGGGCUGCGGGGACGGCAGCGCCGCGUCCCCCCCGCUCCGUGCCCCAGCAUGAGCCCUGUCCCCGGCAGCGCCCUCGCCUCCGCCUGACCCCCGCGCUGCCCGCCGUGCCCGUGGCACCCCGGCCGAGGCGUCACCAUGCUGGUCAAGGAGUACCGCAUCUGCAUGCCGCUCACCACCGAGGAGUACCGCGUGGGGCAGCUCUACACCAUCAGCAAGCACAGCCACCAGGAGAGCGAGAAGGGCGAGGGCGUGGAGGUGGUGAAGAACGAGCCCCACGAGGACCCCGUGCACGGCCCCGGGCAGUUCACUGAGAAGCGAGUCCACCUCUCCAGCAAACUGCCGAGCUGGGCACGGGCAGUGACCCCCCGCAUCUUCUACAUCACCGAGAAGGCCUGGAACUACUACCCCUACACCAUCACAGGUGAGCCUGGGCAGGGCCACGGGCACCCCGGGCACCCUGUCCCUGCCCACUGGGGGGGCUGCAGGAGCUGCCCCCGGUCUCACUGCUCCCUCUCUCCCCUGUGACAUCACCCGGUGAUGCCCCCCUGUGAUGCCAAUGUGCCAUGGUGUCCCUGCAGAGUACACGGUAAGGGGCUGCCAUGGCAUGACCUGUCCCCUCCCCCAGCAGGUGGCUGGGGAGGGGGCGCUGGGGGGGCAUUUUUGGGGGUGGGUGUCCUUUGGG
RNAcentral lists this long non-coding RNA (1795 nucleotides) under Camarhynchus parvulus. Its description in RNAcentral is "lncRNA (ENSCPVG00000013760.2)". The record is from RNAcentral. Lineage: Eukaryota; Metazoa; Chordata; Aves; Passeriformes; Thraupidae.